CUGAUUUGAAGAGCUUGCUCAGAUAUGACGAUGGACAUUGCAAAGAGUGGCGAACGGGUGAGUAACACGUGGGAAACCUACCUCUUAGCAGGGGAUAACAUUUGGAAACAGAUGCUAAUACCGUAUAACAAUGACAACCGCAUGGUUGUUAUUUAAAAGAUGGUUCUGCUAUCACUAAGAGAUGGUCCCGCGGUGCAUUAGCUAGUUGGUAAGGUAAUGGCUUACCAAGGCGAUGAUGCAUAGCCGAGUUGAGAGACUGAUCGGCCACAAUGGGACUGAGACACGGCCCAUACUCCUACGGGAGGCAGCAGUAGGGAAUCUUCCACAAUGGGCGAAAGCCUGAUGGAGCAACGCCGCGUGUGUGAUGAAGGGUUUCGGCUCGUAAAACACUGUUGUAAGAGAAGAAUGACAUUGAGAGUAACUGUUCAAUGUGUGACGGUAUCUUACCAGAAAGGAACGGCUAAAUACGUGCCAGCAGCCGCGGUAAUACGUAUGUUCCAAGCGUUAUCCGGAUUUAUUGGGCGUAAAGCGAGCGCAGACGGUUAUUUAAGUCUGAAGUGAAAGCCCUCAGCUCAACUGAGGAAUUGCUUUGGAAACUGGAUGACUUGAGUGCAGUAGAGGAAAGUGGAACUCCAUGUGUAGCGGUGAAAUGCGUAGAUAUAUGGAAGAACACCAGUGGCGAAGGCGGCUUUCUGGACUGUAACUGACGUUGAGGCUCGAAAGUGUGGGUAGCAAACAGGAUUAGAUACCCUGGUAGUCCACACCGUAAACGAUGAGUGCUAGGUGUUUGAGGGUUUCCGCCCUUAAGUGCCGCAGCUAACGCAUUAAGCACUCCGCCUGGGGAGUACGACCGCAAGGUUGAAACUCAAAGGAAUUGACGGGGACCCGCACAAGCGGUGGAGCAUGUGGUUUAAUUCGAAGCAACGCGAAGAACCUUACCAGGUCUUGACAUCCCUUGACAACUCCAGAGAUGGAGCGUUCCCUUCGGGGACAAGGUGACAGGUGGUGCAUGGUUGUCGUCAGCUCGUGUCGUGAGAUGUUGGGUUAAGUCCCGCAACGAGCGCAACCCUUAUUACUAGUUGCCAGCAUUCAGUUGGGCACUCUAGUGAGACUGCCGGUGACAAACCGGAGGAAGGUGGGGAUGACGUCAAAUCAUCAUGCCCCUUAUGACCUGGGCUACACACGUGCUACAAUGGCGUAUACAACGAGUUGCCAACCCGCGAGGGUGAGCUAAUCUCUUAAAGUACGUCUCAGUUCGGAUUGUAGGCUGCAACUCGCCUACAGAAGUCGGAAUCGCUAGUAAUCGCGGAUCAGCACGCCGCGGUGAAUACGUUCCCGGGUCUUGUACACACCGCCCGUCACACCAUGAGAGUUUGUAACACCCAAAGCCGGUGGGGUAAC
RNAcentral lists this ribosomal RNA (1401 nucleotides) under Weissella confusa. Its description in RNAcentral is "bacterial SSU rRNA". It matches the Rfam family "Bacterial small subunit ribosomal RNA", at positions 63 to 1439 of the family's 1533-position model. The record is from RNAcentral. Lineage: Bacteria; Bacillati; Bacillota; Bacilli; Lactobacillales; Lactobacillaceae.